This 2645-nucleotide long non-coding RNA is filed under the name Ananas comosus (pineapple). Its description in RNAcentral is "long non-coding RNA (ACOM_LNC021395)". Lineage: Eukaryota; Viridiplantae; Streptophyta; Magnoliopsida; Poales; Bromeliaceae. The record is from RNAcentral.
GGAGAUGUAUGUAUGUAUGAGUGGAUGGAUGUUUAUAUAGUGACUGCUAUAUAUGCUUAGAUGUUAUUUUCAAACUCUGAUACUUGCUGAGCUAUAAUAUAAACUUGGGUUCGGUUCGGGUGCAGAUAAAAUCCAUAUCUGAAUCCAAAUUCGUUGGAUUUUCGUUUUUUAUAUUCGUAUCCGAAACUAUAUUCGUUUAGCAUCGAAUAAACCGCUCCGUUUGGGUUCGGAUUUGGAUAAAAUUUCAGUAUCCAUACCCAUUGACAUUCCCAUCUUCUAUGAUUAAUUUUGGGAUGAUUGCCUAUAUACCCCUCAUACGUUUGAAAAUAUUCGAUUUACUCCUUUUUUUUUUCUAAAAUACCCCUCAUAUGUUCCACCGUUAUUGCAAAAUGCCCCCGCAGUUAUCUCCUGUUAAGUUAACUUGGGUUAAACGUGAGUUAAACAUCUACCACAGUUAAAAAAAAAUUAAAAUGCCAAUUUUGCCCUUAACUUAAGGGCAAAUAAGAAAUGUUGGUGACGGUAGAGAGGUAUAUUAGAAAAGACCAAAAGUCAAAAUACUUUUUGUGCCCCUGACUUUAAGGGCAAAUAAGAAAGUCGGUGAUGGUGGAAGGGUAUAUUUGAAAGGGCAAAAUAAUAAUUUUACAGAGAUAAUAGAGUUAAUUAACAGAUUUUAACUCUAGGGGUAUAUUAAAAAUAGGUUGGAACGUAGAAAGGGUAUUUUCAAUAUUAGCCUUCUAAGAAGGGUAAAUCGGAAAGUCGGAAACUUUUCAGGGGUAUAUAAACAAUCACCCCAUUAAUUUUAACAACUUCUUUUAUUAAUAGAUUUUAAAAUAUUAUAAUUAUAAAAAUAGCCUUUUAAAAAAAUUAUUUAUAAAAUUAGAUUUAUGCGGUGAAUAAGUCAUCUCUUUUUAAAUAUGGCAAAUCAUUCACCGCUUUCUUCAAAGCAUUAGAAUUAUUUUUAGAGUUUAAUAUAAUAUAAUUUUUGAAGUUCAAAUAUAAAAAUAUAUAAAAUUAAUAAAAAUAAUAAAUAAUUUAUUCUAUUUGAAAAUACGAUAAAUUAUUUAACGUUCAGGUCUAAUUUUAUAAACAAAAUGUCUAUAAAAGCUGAGUGGCCCAAGCAAAUUGUGUUUCUCCAACAACAACAACAACAACAACAACAACAACAACAACAACAACAACAACAACAACAACAACAACAACAAGGUUAAUUGCAUACAGCUCUAUGUAAACAUAUCAAAUUGUAGAUAUAUAUCUUUACAAACUUUAACUUUUUAUUUUUAUUCUUGCAAAAGUUCUACCAUUUUUAAAUAGGGGCAAUUGUCUAUAUACCCCUGAAAAGUUUCCGGUUUUCUUAUUUACCCCUCUUAGAAGGCUAAUAUUGAAAAUACACUUCUUAUGUUCCAAGUUUUUCUAAAAUACCCCCGGAGUUAAGUUCCGUUAGUGAGCUGCCGUUAUCUCUGAAAAAUUACCAUUUUGCCCAUUCCAAUAUACCCUUGUACCGUAACAAACUUUUCUUAUAUGCCUUUCAUAUAGCAAAUACUUUUCUUAUUUGCCCUUCAGCUGGAUCCGGAGCAGAGGGCGUGCAGGGGUCCGAUGGCGUUGCGGCCCUCUUGCUCCCGGCGUCGGCCAAGGCAGCGGAGGAGGAGAAGGACAACGAGAACGGCGAGAGAUGGGAUCGUCGUUGCGGCCCUCUUGCUCCUGGCGCCGGCCAAGGCGGCGGAGGAGGUGGACAACGGCGACGAUGAGAGCAGCGGUGAAAGAGGUCGACGAGAGCGACGAGAGGGGUAGUGUUGGAGGUGGAGGUGUAGGAGGAGAUGAGGCGAGGUGGAGGCGGAGGAGCCGGCCGGUGGUGGCGACCAAGUUGGGGAAGAAAGAGAGGAUAAUCUUAGGGAUUAGUAUAAUAAGGUAGGGACAAAAUAGGUAUUUUGUUUAGAUUUUAACUCUAGUAUAGAUUUAACCCAUGUUUAACCCGAGUUAAGCUAACAGGGGAUAACUGCGGGGGUAUUUUGGAAUAACGGUGGAACAUAUAAGGGGCAUUUUAGAAAGAAAAAAAAAAGUAGAGGUAGAUCGGAUAUUUCCGAACGCAUGAAGGGUAUAUAGGCAAUUAUCCCUUUUAAAUAUACCUCUGCUGUUAGGAUCCGUUAGAAAAAUAUAGUUAAUCAUAAGUAAAAUACUAAACCUUGGUUAGUGGAUAAGUUAAAUUGAUCUUUUUAUCCCUUUUAUAUUAUUAGAUAAAAUACUUUUUUGGGAGAAUAUUUCUGCAUAAUUCUAACAGUUAGAACUUUUGAAGAGAUAAUAUUUGUAAAGACAAAAAUGUCAUUUUAUUUAACUGCUGUUAAAAAAUAAACAGUGCUUUAACGGUAACAAAUCAGAGGAGUAAAUAUAAAUAUCAUUAGAUUUUUGCAGGAAUAAAAAUAAAAAAUUAAACUUUGUAAAAAUAUAUUCGUACCACCUUAGUCUAUCACGCCCUACCGUUCGGUCCGUUCCUUCCCCAAAUAGGUAGAAAAAGCCCGCACAGGCGCGUGUCCCAGACCGCCAAACCAACAUAAUUUUUCUCUCCGUUUAAGACAUCAUAAUCGGUACAAUUCAAAAUAUUACAAACAAAAAUAGAAUUUAUACACAAAUUGUAUAAAAAAAAAUAUUAU